CGCCUCCUGGUGCCGGAGUUCUGAUACUGAUUAAUAGAAAGAGGAGGCAAAGUAACCACCCAUACACAUCCAAGCCUGGCGCCAAUGCCUGGUCUUUAUUGUGAAUGAGAGACAUGG
Molecule: small nucleolar RNA, 117 nt
Filed under: Castor canadensis (American beaver)
Lineage: Eukaryota; Metazoa; Chordata; Mammalia; Rodentia; Castoridae
Description: Small nucleolar RNA SNORA51 (ENSCCNG00000002958.1)
Rfam family: Small nucleolar RNA SNORA51
About the family: ACA51 is a member of the H/ACA class of snoRNA that guide the sites of modification of uridines to pseudouridines.
Source: Rfam by way of RNAcentral